Non-coding RNA from Ictidomys tridecemlineatus (thirteen-lined ground squirrel), 1703 nucleotides. Lineage: Eukaryota; Metazoa; Chordata; Mammalia; Rodentia; Sciuridae. The record is from RefSeq and is a predicted model, not a curated record.
GUCAUUUGGGGAAGGACAAGAAGAAGAGUCAGCACCACACCUCUGCCCUGCCCUUCAGUCACCAUGUCGUCCAUCCUCCUGGACCUUCUAGAUCCUUCCUUCCAACUCCACUUGUUCACCCUGUCAGAGAAGACCUCAGUCUAUUCAAUAUUCUUUUCUCCUGGAAACCAGACAUCACCUGCUUCCUUGUAGGUCUCUGAGAUCCAUCAAUUUCAUAGCGUUUGAAAAUUCUUAUUACCUUUGGAAUUUUUAUUUCUCCGGGAUUAUUACUUUCAGGAUCUCUUCUCUUUGAAAUUUCUACUCUUCCAUAUAAUAUGUUCUUGCCUUGAUCAAUUCAGCAAAAAAGUGAAAUUUCUCUUAUGCUUAUUUACCUAUGCUAAUUUUAAAUAAAAAUUUUCCAAUUUUAUUUUAUUCUCUUCAUCUAGAGGGUUUAGCCAAAAAAACCCAAAUUGAUACAUUAUUAUUACAACCUUAUAAAACUUAAGUAUAAAAACUGAAAUAACCCUCAAGAGACAUUUUUGUAUGUUUUUAGUAUUUUUGUUUGUAAAAUUAGUGUAAGUUAAACUUUAAGAGAAAUUUUGGGAACAUGUCUAUACACACAGUGUGAGGAUGGCCUUAGCUUAAGCAACUCCAUUUUAAAACUCUUUGUUAAAAUAAAAUUGGAGUCCCUACCAGACAAGUUUACAGAGCCCUCUAAUAUUGUCAUGAGGCAUGGCCUGAAAAAAUAAGUCACUUCCCACAACCCUGAUAAAACUCAGAGUGAAGUCACUGUUAUUUGCCUUUGUCUGAUAAGGGUCACAGAUGAGAGAUCAGGGCAGAAACCACCAGACCAGAUGUCCUGACCCCAGAGUGAAAGACAUCACUAAGAGACCCAGUCAUAUGUGAUUAGGACUGAAAGAGCAAGCAGAAACCCCAAAAUUUAAUAUAAAUGAUGUAGCAAAUGAAGAGACAUUCCAUCAAGCCACACUGAUGCCCCAUCCUGGAGAGCCUGAUGAGGACACGUGGACUGACAUCCCAACUUUUUUCAUUAUCUACCUGAUCUUCUGUAUCCUCCUCACCAUUCUCCAACUCCACAGCCACAUCUUGAUCCUGAUGAGAAUAAGGACUUCUCCUUAUCACUAUGUCCUCAACCACUCAUCAGCUCCAUGCCAUGAUGAAGCCUCCAUGGAUUCCUGACCUGAUCACUAUAGUCUGAAGGAUCCUCAUACUCUGAGCCACCUCAUGAUCAAACUGGUACCCAUAAAGGAAAUUAAUGCUUCACCUCUGAGGAAGGACAUCAGUUACCACUAGAUGUGACAGCAUGAUGUGGUACUACUGCUUGGGCCUCUACAGGAUCCUCAGUGCUCUCAACAUCUACUGCCUCAUUCGGACUUUCUGAGAGCUGCAACUUCUCCCUCUCCUCAACUGAUCAUCCACUUCAAGCCAGAAGAAGCCUGCCUUGGUUCCGGACCUGGUCACCGGAGUCUGAGUUAGUGUGAAUCUGCUGGACAUAAAGCCUAAGGCUUAAGACUUUUGAACUUAGCAUGCAGAGGGAAUGUCUGUCAUUAGCCUAUCCUGAUUAAGCCUGUUUUGCAGUGCUUAUAAUUAAUCUAGAAUUGUUUUCUGUGAAUUGAUUAUGUCUAUUGCAGUGCCUAGCAUUAAGGAUUGUCAUUUUCUUGAUUCAGAACCUAUAGAGUGAAACUGUAUUGAGUAGUUUGAGUGAA